This is a long non-coding RNA of Helianthus annuus (common sunflower), 371 nucleotides long. RefSeq lists it as uncharacterized. NCBI's taxonomy places the organism in Eukaryota, Viridiplantae, Streptophyta, Magnoliopsida, Asterales, Asteraceae. The record is from RefSeq and is a predicted model, not a curated record. The transcript has 3 exons.
GGAAGAGCCAGGAAGCUCCAUGAGAGCUCAAGAACCCUAAUCAAGAAAUCAUCAAAUUGAAAGGAUGGAUAGCAUGUCUACGGGCUCAAGUAUGGAGGCUAACGGGUCAAAAGGAAGCAUGGAACCUAUGCUUGAACAUGGACGCUCAAGGUUGUACGAAGAACAGAUUACCAUCAUGAGGUGUAGCGAUCAAAGACCGAGUCACAAGAUAGAUUGUACAGGGAUCCUUGAUUAUGUAAAAUGAUAGUUAUAAGCUAUGCUUUUAUUUUGUAAAUGUGUACAAAAGAUACCUAUAUUGUAAGAAGGUAUUUUAUAAUGAACUUGCAAGUAGGUCAAAAAUGUUUUUAACGAAAGAAAUUUUAUGGUAAAAA